AGCGUACACGGUGGAUGCCCUGGCAGUCAGAGGCGAUGAAGGACGUGCUAAUCUGCGAUAAGCGCCGGUAAGGUGAUAUGAACCGUUAUAACCGGCGAUUUCCGAAUGGGGAAACCCAGUGUGACUCGUCACACUAUCAUUAACUGAAUCCAUAGGUUAAUGAGGCGAACCGGGGGAACUGAAACAUCUAAGUACCCCGAGGAAAAGAAAUCAACCGAGAUUCCCCCAGUAGCGGCGAGCGAACGGGGAGGAGCCCAGAGCCUGAAUCAGCAUGUGUGUUAGUGGAAGCGUCUGGAAAGGCGCGCGAUACAGGGUGACAGCCCCGUACACAAAAGCGCAUGUGCUGUGAGCUCGAUGAGUAGGGCGGGACACGUGGUAUCCUGUCUGAAUAUGGGGGGACCAUCCUCCAAGGCUAAAUACUCCUGACUGACCGAUAGUGAACCAGUACCGUGAGGGAAAGGCGAAAAGAACCCCGGCGAGGGGAGUGAAAAAGAACCUGAAACCGUGUACGUACAAGCAGUGGGAGCCCCACCACUAAGCCAGUGGUGAACUCCACAUACGCAUCCUUUGCUGAGGAUACGGUUAACGGAGCGAAAGCGACGUUCAACCGCAAAAAAAGAAGCAGAGGGGGCUUAGUGGUGGGGUGACUGCGUACCUUUUGUAUAAUGGGUCAGCGACUUAUAUUCUGUAGCAAGGUUAACCGCAUAGGGGAGCCGGAGGGAAACCGAGUCUUAAUUGGGCGUUAAGUUGCAGGGUAUAGACCCGAAACCCGGUGAUCUAGCCAUGGGCAGGUUGAAGGUUGGGUAACACUAACUGGAGGACCGAACCGACUAAUGUUGAAAAAUUAGCGGAUGACCUGUGGCUGGGGGUGAAAGGCCAAUCAAACCGGGAGAUAGCUGGUUCUCCCCGAAAGCUAUUUAGGUAGCGCCUCGUGAAUUCAUCUCCGGGGGUAGAGCACUGUUUCGGCUAGGGGGCCAUCCCGGCUUACCAACCCGAUGCAAACUGCGAAUACCGGAGAAUGUUAUCACGGGAGACACACGGCGGGUGCUAACGUCCGUCGUGAAGAGGGAAACAACCCAGACCGCCAGCUAAGGUCCCAAAGUCAUGGUUAAGUGGGAAACGAUGUGGGAAGGCCCAGACAGCCAGGAUGUUGGCUUAGAAGCAGCCAUCAUUUAAAGAAAGCGUAAUAGCUCACUGGUCGAGUCGGCCUGCGCGGAAGAUGUAACGGGGCUAAACCAUGCACCGAAGCUGCGGCAGCGACGCUGAUGCGUUGUUGGGUAGGGGAGCGUUCUGUAAGCCUGCGAAGGUGUGUCGUGAGGCAUGCUGGAGGUAUCAGAAGUGCGAAUGCUGACAUAAGUAACGAUAAAGCGGGUGAAAAGCCCGCUCGCCGGAAGACCAAGGGUUCCUGUCCAACGUUAAUCGGGGCAGGGUGAGUCGACCCCUAAGGCGAGGCCGAAAGGCGUAGUCGAUGGGAAACGGGUUAAUAUUCCCGUACUUGGUGUUACUGCGAAGGGGGGACGGAGAAGGCUAUGUUGGCCGGGCGACGGUUGUCCCGGUUUAAGCGUGUAGGUGUGUGUUCCAGGUAAAUCCGGUUCACUUUAACACUGAGGCGUGAUGACGAGGCACUACGGUGCUGAAGCAACAAAUGCCCUGCUUCCAGGAAAAGCCUCUAAGCAUCAGGUAACAUCAAAUCGUACCCCAAACCGACACAGGUGGUCAGGUAGAGAAUACCAAGGCGCUUGAGAGAACUCGGGUGAAGGAACUAGGCAAAAUGGUGCCGUAACUUCGGGAGAAGGCACGCUGACACGUAGGUGAAGUGAUUUACUCAUGGAGCUGAAGUCAGUCGAAGAUACCAGCUGGCUGCAACUGUUUAUUAAAAACACAGCACUGUGCAAACACGAAAGUGGACGUAUACGGUGUGACGCCUGCCCGGUGCCGGAAGGUUAAUUGAUGGGGUCAGCGCAAGCGAAGCUCCUGAUCGAAGCCCCGGUAAACGGCGGCCGUAACUAUAACGGUCCUAAGGUAGCGAAAUUCCUUGUCGGGUAAGUUCCGACCUGCACGAAUGGCGUAAUGAUGGCCAGGCUGUCUCCACCCGAGACUCAGUGAAAUUGAACUCGCUGUGAAGAUGCAGUGUACCCGCGGCAAGACGGAAAGACCCCGUGAACCUUUACUAUAGCUUGACACUGAACAUUGAGCCUUGAUGUGUAGGAUAGGUGGGAGGCUUUGAAGUGUGGACGCCAGUCUGCAUGGAGCCGGCCUUGAAAUACCACCCUUUAAUGUUUGAUGUUCUAACGUGGACCCGUGAUCCGGGUUGCGGACAGUGUCUGGUGGGUAGUUUGACUGGGGCGGUCUCCUCCUAAAGAGUAACGGAGGAGCACGAAGGUUGGCUAAUCCUGGUCGGACAUCAGGAGGUUAGUGCAAUGGCAUAAGCCAGCUUGACUGCGAGCGUGACGGCGCGAGCAGGUGCGAAAGCAGGUCAUAGUGAUCCGGUGGUUCUGAAUGGAAGGGCCAUCGCUCAACGGAUAAAAGGUACUCCGGGGAUAACAGGCUGAUACCGCCCAAGAGUUCAUAUCGACGGCGGUGUUUGGCACCUCGAUGUCGGCUCAUCACAUCCUGGGGCUGAAGUAGGUCCCAAGGGUAUGGCUGUUCGCCAUUUAAAGUGGUACGCGAGCUGGGUUUAGAACGUCGUGAGACAGUUCGGUCCCUAUCUGCCGUGGGCGCUGGAGAACUGAGGGGGGCUGCUCCUAGUACGAGAGGACCGGAGUGGACGCAUCACUGGUGUUCGGGUUGUCAUGCCAAUGGCACUGCCCGGUAGCUAAAUGCGGAAGAGAUAAGUGCUGAAAGCAUCUAAGCACGAAACUUGCCCCGAGAUGAGUUCU
RNAcentral lists this ribosomal RNA (2879 nucleotides) under Salmonella enterica subsp. enterica serovar Urbana. RNAcentral describes it as "bacterial LSU rRNA". It matches the Rfam family "Bacterial large subunit ribosomal RNA". Lineage: Bacteria; Pseudomonadati; Pseudomonadota; Gammaproteobacteria; Enterobacterales; Enterobacteriaceae. The record is from RNAcentral.